AAGGAGUCUAACAUCUAUGCGAGUGUUUGGGUGUCAAACCCCUAUGCGUAAUGAAAGUGAACGGAGGUGAGAAUCGGAAGGUGCAUCAUCGACCGAUCCUGAUGUCUUCGGAUGGAUUUGAGUAUGAGCAUAGCUGUUGGGACCCGAAAGAUGGUGAACUAUGCCUGAAUAGGGUGAAGCCAGAGGAAACUCUGGUGGAGGCUCGCAGCGGUUCUGACGUGCAAAUCGAUCGUCAAAUUUGGGUAUAGGGGCGAAAGACUAAUCGAACCAUCUAGUAGCUGGUUCCUUC
RNAcentral lists this unclassified non-coding RNA (289 nucleotides) under uncultured fungus. Its description in RNAcentral is "partial contains 5.8S rRNA, ITS2 and 28S rRNA". It matches the Rfam family "Eukaryotic large subunit ribosomal RNA", at positions 668 to 961 of the family's 3401-position model. Lineage: Eukaryota; Fungi. The record is from RNAcentral.